RNAcentral lists this ribosomal RNA (505 nucleotides) under Alternaria sp. D132_101. Its description in RNAcentral is "eukaryotic LSU rRNA". The stretch from base 175 to 328 matches the Rfam family "5.8S ribosomal RNA". Lineage: Eukaryota; Fungi; Ascomycota; Dothideomycetes; Pleosporales; Pleosporaceae. The record is from RNAcentral.
AGGGACAUUACACAAUAUGAAGGCGGGCUGGAACCUCUCGGGGUUACAGCCUUGCUGAAUUAUUCACCCUUGUCUUUUGCGUACUUCUUGUUUCCUUGGUGGGUUCGCCCACCACUAGGACAAACAUAAACCUUUUGUAAUUGCAAUCAGCGUCAGUAACAAAUUAAUAAUUACAACUUUCAACAACGGAUCUCUUGGUUCUGGCAUCGAUGAAGAACGCAGCGAAAUGCGAUAAGUAGUGUGAAUUGCAGAAUUCAGUGAAUCAUCGAAUCUUUGAACGCACAUUGCGCCCUUUGGUAUUCCAAAGGGCAUGCCUGUUCGAGCGUCAUUUGUACCCUCAAGCUUUGCUUGGUGUUGGGCGUCUUGUCUCUAGCUUUGCUGGAGACUCGCCUUAAAGUAAUUGGCAGCCGGCCUACUGGUUUCGGAGCGCAGCACAAGUCGCACUCUCUAUCAGCAAAGGUCUAGCAUCCAUUAAGCCUUUUUUUCAACUUUUGACCUCGGAUCA